GACGAACGCUGGCGGCGUGCUUAACACAUGCAAGUCGAACGGAAAGGCCCUGCUUGCAGGGUACUCGAGUGGCGAACGGGUGAGUAACACGUGGGUGAUCUGCCCUGCACUUCGGGAUAAGCCUGGGAAACUGGGUCUAAUACCGGAUAGGAGCCAUUUUUAGUGUGAUGGUUGGAAAGUUUUUUCGGUGUAGGAUGAGCUCGCGGCCUAUCAGCUUGUUGGUGGGGUAAUGGCCUACCAAGGCGGCGACGGGUAGCCGGCCUGAGAGGGUGGACGGCCACAUGGGAACGGGGUUAGGGCCAGGCCCCUAAGGGAGGGAAGAGGGGGGGAAAUUGGCACAAGGGCGCAAGCCUGAUGCAGCGACGCCGCGUGGGGGAUGACGGCCUUCGGGUUGUAAACUCCUUUCGCUAGGGACGAAGCUUUUUGUGACGGUACCUAGAUAAGAAGCACCGGCUAACUACGUG
Molecule: ribosomal RNA, 464 nt
Filed under: uncultured bacterium
Lineage: Bacteria
Description: partial 16S ribosomal RNA
Rfam family: Bacterial small subunit ribosomal RNA
Source: RNAcentral